UACAUAGGGGGCGAGCGUUGUCCGGAAUGACUGGGCGUAAAGGGUGUGUAGGCGGUUUGGUAAGUUAGAAGUGUAAUACCCAGGGCUUAACUCGGGUGCUGCUUCUGAUACUGCCGGACUUGAGUGUAGGAGAGGAUGACGGAAUUCCCAGUGUAGCGGUGGAAUGCAUAGAUAUUGGGAGGAACACCGGAGGCGAAAGCGGUCAUCUGGACUACAACUGACGCUGAGGCACGAAAGCGUGGGGAGCAAA
Molecule: ribosomal RNA, 250 nt
Filed under: uncultured prokaryote
Description: partial 16S ribosomal RNA
Rfam family: Bacterial small subunit ribosomal RNA
Source: RNAcentral